CGGAGUCGCGCGGGAGAGGCCCUGGAUUCGAUCCGGGGCGCCGAAGGAGCAACCGCCCCGGAAUCUCUCAGGCAAAAGGACCGCGCGGGUCAU
This 93-nucleotide non-coding RNA is filed under the name Sphingomonas sp. AX6. Its description in RNAcentral is "Glycine riboswitch aptamer". It matches the Rfam family "Glycine riboswitch aptamer". From Rfam's summary of the family: This family represents the bacterial glycine riboswitch. Glycine riboswitches usually consist of two metabolite-binding aptamers domains with similar structures in tandem. Lineage: Bacteria; Pseudomonadati; Pseudomonadota; Alphaproteobacteria; Sphingomonadales; Sphingomonadaceae. The record is from Rfam by way of RNAcentral.